Molecule: ribosomal RNA, 253 nt
Filed under: uncultured bacterium
Lineage: Bacteria
Description: partial 16S ribosomal RNA
Rfam family: Bacterial small subunit ribosomal RNA
Source: RNAcentral
UACGUAGGGUGCAAGCGUUGUCCGGAAUUAUUGGGCGUAAAGAGCUUGUAGGCGGUUUGUCGCGUCUGCUGUGAAAUUUCGGGGCUCAACCCCGAACUUGCAGUGGGUACGGGCAGACUAGAGCGUGGUAGGGGAGACUGGAAUUCCUGGUGUAGCGGUGAAAUGCGCAGAUAUCAGGAAGAACACCAAUGGCGAAAGCAGCUCUCUGGGACGGUACUGACGCUGAGACGCGAAAGCGUGGGGAGCGAACAGG